AUUAGACGAAUCAUCUGGAAAGAUGAAUCAAAGAAGGUAAUAAUCCUGUAGUCGAAAAUGUUGUCUCUCUUGAGUGGAUCCUGAGUACGACGGAGCACGUGAAAUUCCGUCGGAAUCUGGGAGGACCAUCUCCUAAGGCUAAAUACUCUCUAGUGACCGAUAGUGAACCAGUACCGUGAGGGAAAGGUGAAAAGCACCCCGGAAGGGGAGUGAAAUAGAACCUGAAACCGUGUGCUUACAAGUAGUCAGAGCCCGUUAAUGGGUGAUGGCGUGCCUUUUGUAGAAUGAACCGGCGAGUUACGAUUUGAUGCAAGGUUAAGCAGUAAAUGUGGAGCCGUAGCGAAAGCGAGUCUGAAUAGGGCGUUUAGUAUUUGGUCGUAGACCCGAAACCAGGUGAUCUACCCUUGGUCAGGUUGAAGUUCAGGUAACACUGAAUGGAGGACCGAACCGACUUACGUUGAAAAGUGAGCGGAUGAACUGAGGGUAGCGGAGAAAUUCCAAUCGAACCUGGAGAUAGCUGGUUCUCUCCGAAAUAGCUUUAGGGCUAGCCUCAAGUGAUGAUUAUUGGAGGUAGAGCACUGUUUGGACGAGGGGCCCCUCUCGGGUUACCGAAUUCAGACAAACUCCGAAUGCCAAUUAAUUUAACUUGGGAGUCAGAACAUGGGUGAUAAGGUCCGUGUUCGAAAGGGAAACAGCCCAGACCACCAGCUAAGGUCCCAAAAUAUAUGUUAAGUGGAAAAGGAUGUGGCGUUGCCCAGACAACUAGGAUGUUGGCUUAGAAGCAGCCAUCAUUUAAAGAGUGCGUAAUAGCUCACUAGUCGAGUGACACUGCGCCGAAAAUGUACCGGGGCUAAACAUAUUACCGAAGCUGUGGAUUGUCCUUUGGACAAUGGUAGGAGAGCGUUCUAAGGGCGUUGAAGCAUGAUCGUAAGGACAUGUGGAGCGCUUAGAAGUGAGAAUGCCGGUGUGAGUAGCGAAAGA
Molecule: ribosomal RNA, 981 nt
Filed under: Staphylococcus aureus
Lineage: Bacteria; Bacillati; Bacillota; Bacilli; Caryophanales; Staphylococcaceae
Description: partial 23S ribosomal RNA
Rfam family: Bacterial large subunit ribosomal RNA
Source: RNAcentral